UUUUCUGUUGUCGUCGCUUCAGGAAC
This 26-nucleotide small RNA is filed under the name Arabidopsis thaliana (thale cress). RNAcentral's name for it is "ATSL057200". Lineage: Eukaryota; Viridiplantae; Streptophyta; Magnoliopsida; Brassicales; Brassicaceae. The record is from RNAcentral.